Molecule: ribosomal RNA, 915 nt
Filed under: uncultured fungus
Lineage: Eukaryota; Fungi
Description: bacterial SSU rRNA
Rfam family: Eukaryotic small subunit ribosomal RNA
Source: RNAcentral
GUCAGAGCAAAAUUACGGGAUGACUCAUAGAUAUACUCAGCCAUAUGCAUUCAGCGUCUGCGGAGCUCUCCCACUAUGGAUAGAAGCUCGCAGGGCGGCCGCGAAUUCACUAGCUGAUUUUAGCAUGGCCAUUAAUGGACAUAGGACGUGCGAGUUCUAUUUUGUUGGUUUCGUAGGACCGCCGUAGUGAUUAAUACGGAUAGGCAGUGGGGCAUCGCGUAUUCGAAUUGUCAGAGGUGAAAUUCAUUGGAUUUAUUGAAGACGCAACUACUGCCAAAGCAGUUUGCCAAGGGAUGUUUUCAUUAAUCACGAACGAAAGUUGAGGGAUCGAAGACGAUCAGAUACCGUCGUAGUCUCAACCAUAAGUUAUGCCGAAUUAGGCAUCGGGCGCUGUUCCACCAACUCUCGCUCGGCAUGCACCGAGAAAUCAAAGUCUAUGAAAGAGGGGGGGAGUAUGGUMGCAAGGCUGAAACUUAACGGAAUUGACGGAAGCGCACCACCAGGAGUGGAGCCUGCGGCUUAAUUUGACUCAACACCCGGAAACUCACCAAAUCAAGACACAUCCAGGAUUGCCAGAUCCAGACCUCAUUCAUGAUCAUUGAUGUGGUGGAAGGUGGCCGUUCUUAGUUGGUGGAGUGAUUUGCCUGAUUAAUAGUGAUCACAAACGAGACUUUAGCCUGCAAAAUAACCAGAUCGGCUUUUGCAGUCCCUCACCGGCUUUUUAGAGGGAAUAUGAAACAUCCAGAGUCAAAGGAAUUUUGAGUCAAUAACAUGGUCUGUGAUGCCAGAAGAUGUUCUGGACCGCACGCACUAUGCACAGCCCCCGAGCCUACGAGUUCAUCACCUUCGGCAGGAAGGUGAGCCUACUCAUGAGAAACCACACGUCGUAGUCCAUUAGAAGCCUUGCCCUAAUCU